RNAcentral lists this ribosomal RNA (506 nucleotides) under uncultured bacterium. Its description in RNAcentral is "partial 16S ribosomal RNA". It matches the Rfam family "Bacterial small subunit ribosomal RNA", at positions 28 to 523 of the family's 1533-position model. The record is from RNAcentral.
GAUGAACGCUAGCUACAGGCUUAACACAUGCAAGUCGAGGGGUAACGAGAGGAAAGCUUGCUUUCCUUGUCGACGACCGGCGCACGGGUGAGUAACGCGUAUCCAACCUGCCCCCAACUAAGGAAUAACCUUGCGAAAGUAAGACUAAUACCUUAUAAUUUCCUCAGAUGUCAUCUGACGAGGAAUAAAGAUUUAUCGGUUGUGGAUGGGGAUGCGUCUGAUUAGCUUGUUGGCGGGGUAACGGCCCACCAAGGCAACGAUCAGUAGGGGUUCUGAGAGGAAGGUCCCCCACAUUGGAACUGAGACACGGUCCAAACUCCUGCGGGAGGCAGCAGUGAGGAAUAUUGGUCAAUGGGCGGAAGCCUGAACCAGCCAAGUAGCGUGCAGGAUGACGGCCCUAUGGGUUGUAAACUGCUUUUAUACAGGAAUAAAGUUAGCCACGUGUGGUUAUUUGUAGGUACUGUAUGAAUAGGGACCGGCUAAUUCCGUGCCAGCCGCCGCCGUAA